RNAcentral lists this transfer RNA (85 nucleotides) under Candidatus Roizmanbacteria bacterium. RNAcentral's name for it is "tRNA-Leu". It matches the Rfam family "tRNA". From Rfam's summary of the family: Transfer RNA (tRNA) molecules are approximately 80 nucleotides in length. Their secondary structure includes four short double-helical elements and three loops (D, anti-codon, and T loops). Further hydrogen bonds mediate the characteristic L-shaped molecular structure. tRNAs have two regions of fundamental functional importance: the anti-codon, which is responsible for specific mRNA codon recognition, and the 3' end, to which the tRNAs corresponding amino acid is attached (by aminoacyl-tRNA synthetases). tRNAs cope with the degeneracy of the genetic code in two manners: having more than one tRNA (with a specific anti-codon) for a particular amino acid; and 'wobble' base-pairing, i.e. permitting non-standard base-pairing at the 3rd anti-codon position. The record is from RNAcentral. Lineage: Bacteria; Candidatus Roizmaniibacteriota.
GCCCCGAUGCUGGAAUUGGCAGACAGGUACGCUUCAGGAGCGUAUGCCGCAAGGCGUAGAGGUUCAACUCCUCUUCGGGGCACCA